RNAcentral lists this transfer RNA (76 nucleotides) under Caldicoprobacter sp. RNAcentral's name for it is "tRNA-Arg". It matches the Rfam family "tRNA". Rfam says of the family: Transfer RNA (tRNA) molecules are approximately 80 nucleotides in length. Their secondary structure includes four short double-helical elements and three loops (D, anti-codon, and T loops). Lineage: Bacteria; Bacillati; Bacillota; Clostridia; Caldicoprobacterales; Caldicoprobacteraceae. RNAcentral also lists the same sequence under 1 other name. The record is from RNAcentral.
GCGCCUGUAGCUCAGGGGAUAGAGCGUUCGACUCCGAAUCGAAAGGCCGUGGGUUCGAGUCCCGCCAGGCGCACCA